Molecule: long non-coding RNA, 160 nt
Organism: Etheostoma spectabile (orangethroat darter)
Lineage: Eukaryota; Metazoa; Chordata; Actinopteri; Perciformes; Percidae
Exons: 3
Source: RefSeq, a predicted model, not a curated record
GCUUAGAUAUGAAAGGGGAGCGAGGGGGGCGAAUGACACGCAGCAUAGAGCCGCAGGUUGGAGUCAAACCUGCGGCCGCUGUGUAAAGGACUAAACCUCUAUAUAUGGGCGCCCGCUCUACCAACUCAGCUAACCAGGCGCCCACUACGCAUGUAUUUCU